This 307-nucleotide ribosomal RNA is filed under the name uncultured eukaryote. RNAcentral describes it as "partial 18S ribosomal RNA". It matches the Rfam family "Eukaryotic small subunit ribosomal RNA", at positions 1470 to 1796 of the family's 1831-position model. The record is from RNAcentral.
CCCUUAGAUGUCCUGGGCCGCACGCGUGCUACACUGAUACGUGCAAUAAGUGCUACUGCCCCGAAAGGCGGCGGUUAAUCUAUAAUACGUAUCGUGAUGGGGAUAGAUCUUUGUAAUUUUGGAUCUUGAACGAGGAAUUCCUAGUAAGUGCAAGUCAUUAUCUUGCGCUGAUUAAGUCCCUGCCCUUUGUACACACCGCCCGUCGCUCCUACCGAUUUCGAGUGGUCCGGUGAGCCUUUGGACUGGUCUGUUUCAGAUCGGAAAAUCAAGCGAACCUUAUCACUUAGAGGAAGGAUAAGUCGUAACA